RNAcentral lists this long non-coding RNA (1087 nucleotides) under Oryctolagus cuniculus (rabbit). Its description in RNAcentral is "lncRNA (ENSOCUG00000038686.1)". Lineage: Eukaryota; Metazoa; Chordata; Mammalia; Lagomorpha; Leporidae. The record is from RNAcentral.
GAACAGCUGGGAAAUAUGAAAGUCGCCUGAAGAGUAGAUUUCUAGCCCAAGUUCGAUUUUGGGCACAGACUAGAAAUCAAGUAAAAUCCUUCAUUUAUGAUACCCUUAGUUCUUCCUUCUCUAACUCCAAACUCCCCAAGGAAGUCUGUUUUAAAAGGAGAAAAAAGCAAGUGUCAAAUGAAGAUGGUGACAUAUCAUGAGGGAGUCUAUUAUUUUUUCUUUUCAUAAUUGUAUAACUGACAGAGGAGUGUUAGGCAAGGCCACUCUCAGACUAAACAGAAGUUGGUUGGCAGACGAGUGAUGCACAUGGUUUGUGUAUGUGGAAGCAGGAGGAAAGGGGUUCCUCUUGGGAACAAAUGUCCACAUUGGUUGAUGAGAUUGGACAUGGCACACACCCUCCUGUUGACGCAGAAAUGACCAGUGAAGAAUGACCAGCAUUCAAGGUAAGAAAUGCAUAAUAGAAGAUACAACAGACAAAAACUUCUGAGAACAAAGCUAUAUGAUUGUUCUGAAGAAUGGAGACCAUAUUAUCAUAGAGCCUACCAAGGGGAGAGGAUUUGGAACCACGGAGGAAACUCCAACCAACUGAUGCUGAGCCCUGUUGUCAAGAGGCCUCUACCUGGCUGACUCUGGACUUCCCUGGAUGAGCCUGAUGAACCCUCAUCAGAACAAAGCCUGAACAUCUGCAUAAUUAUCAGUUACAUAGACUCAUUGUUUUAUUUAUAAUUUCCCACUGUAGCUUUCUUUGUCCUUUUUAAAACCCUCUUGCAUGGGGGCCUGUGCUGUGGCACAGCUGGUAAAGCCACCGCCUGCAGUGUUGGCAUUCCAUGUGGGUGCCAGUUCGAGUUUUGGCUGCUCCACUUUUAAUCCAGCUCUCUCUAUGGCCUAGGAAAGUAGCGGAGGAUGAUCCCCUGCACCAGGUGGGAGACCCAGAAGAAAAUCCUGGCUGCUGGCUUCGGACUGACUGUUAAAACCAUCUGGAGAGUGAACCAUCAUAAGGAAGACCUCUCUCUCUCUCCCUGCCACUGCCUCUUUAUAAUUCUGCCUCUCAAAUAAAUAAAUAAAUCUAAAAAAAAAGAAUAAACUU